GGGAAACUUACCAAGGCCAAACAGAGGUGGGAUUGACAGAUUGAGAGCUCUUUCUUGAUUCUUUGGGUGGUGGUGCAUGGCCGUUCUUAGUUGGUGGAGUGAUUUGUCGGCUUAAUUUGACUCAACGCGGGAAAUCUCACCAGGCCCGGCUACUGGAAGGAUUGACAGAUUGAUAUUGAUAUUGAGCAAUAA
This 192-nucleotide ribosomal RNA is filed under the name uncultured eukaryote. RNAcentral's name for it is "partial 18S ribosomal RNA". It matches the Rfam family "Eukaryotic small subunit ribosomal RNA", at positions 1208 to 1456 of the family's 1831-position model. The record is from RNAcentral.